RNAcentral lists this ribosomal RNA (253 nucleotides) under uncultured bacterium. RNAcentral describes it as "partial 16S ribosomal RNA". It matches the Rfam family "Bacterial small subunit ribosomal RNA", at positions 524 to 776 of the family's 1533-position model. The record is from RNAcentral.
UACGUAGGGUGCAAGCGUUAAUCGGAAUUACUGGGCGUAAAGCGUGCGCAGGCGGUUAUGCAAGACAGAUGUGAAAUCCCCGGGCUCAACCUGGGAACUGCAUUUGUGACUGCAUAGCUAGAGUACGGUAGAGGGGGAUGGAAUUCCGCGUGUAGCAGUGAAAUGCGUAGAUAUGCGGAGGAACACCGAUGGCGAAGGCAAUCCCCUGGACCUGUACUGACGCUGAGGUGCGAAAGCGUGGGGAGCAAACGGG